RNAcentral lists this unclassified non-coding RNA (1079 nucleotides) under uncultured Bordetella sp. RNAcentral's name for it is "partial 16S-23S ribosomal RNA intergenic spacer". It matches the Rfam family "Bacterial small subunit ribosomal RNA", at positions 12 to 1121 of the family's 1533-position model. Lineage: Bacteria; Pseudomonadati; Pseudomonadota; Betaproteobacteria; Burkholderiales; Alcaligenaceae. The record is from RNAcentral.
UUCGAUCAUGGUCAGAUUGAACGCUGCGGGAUGCUUUAGCACAUGCAAGUCGAACGGCAGCACGGACUUCGGUCUGGUGGCGAGUGGCGAACGGGUGAGUAAUGUAUCGGAACGUGCCUAGUAGCGGGGAUAACUACGCGAAAGCGUAGCUAAUACCGCAUACACCCUUCGGGGAAAGCGGGGGACCUUCGGGCUCGCACUAUUAGAGCGGCCGAUAUCGGAUUAGCUAGUUGGUGGGGUAACGCUCACCAAGGCGACGAUCCAGCCGGUUUGAGAGGACGACCAGCCACACUGACCGGAGACACGGCCCAGACUCCUACGGAGGCAGUGGGGAAUUUUGGCUAAUGGGGAAACCCUGAUCCAGCCAUCCCGCGUGUGCGAUGAAGGCCUUCGGAAGUUGUAAAGCACUUUUGGCAGGAAAGAACGGCACGGGAUAAUACCCCGUGCAACUGAUUUUGCAAUUAAGAAUAAGCACCGGCUAACUACGUGCCAGCAGCCGCGGUGUAGGUGGGCGUUAAUCGGAAUUACUGGCGUAAAGCGUGCGCAGGCGGUUCGGAAAAAGAAAGAGGAAAUCCCAGAGUUUAACUUUGGAACUGCAUUUUUAACUACCGAGCUAGAGGUGGUGUCAGAGGGAGGUGGAAUUCGCGUGUAGCAGUGAAAUGCGUAGAUAUGCGGAGAACACCGAUGGCGAAGGCAGCCCCGGGAUAAACACUGACGUCGCACGAAAGCGUGAGCAAACAGGACGAUACCCUGGUAGUCCACGCUCCUAAAACGAUGUCAACUAGCUGUUAGCUUCGCCUGUAGAAGUAGCUAACGCGUGAAGUUGACCGCCUGUAGCAUGGUCGCAAGAUUAAAACUCAAAGGAAUUGACGGGGACCUGCACACAAGCGGUGGAUGAUGAUUAAUUCGAUGCAACGCGAAACCUUACUCACCUUUAGAUGUCUGGAAUCCCGAAGAGAUUUGGGAGUGCUUCCUCCGUAAGAGAACCGGAACACAGGUGCCGCAUGGUUGCCGUCAGCUCGUGUCGAGAUGUUGGGUUAAGUCCUGCAACGAGCGCAACCCUUGUUGUCAGUUGCUAC